UGCCAGUACAAUAUGCUUGUCUCAAAGAUUAAGCCAUGCAAGUGUAGGAAAGCUAUCACAUAGGGAAAUUUAACCUUAUGAUGAUUUAGAUAUCUGUAGAUUGCUCAUUAAAAGAGUUUUAUGCUCAGCCACUGGUAGUAUGGAGAGUUUUUUAAAUUUUUCAUUAAAAGGAUAACGCUGUUAACCUCUGCGAUAAUACUUGAUAUAAAAUAAAUAGUGAGUGAAUUAACAUUAGCUAUUUAGUAGUAGAUUAGCGAUGAAAUCGCAUCUAUUAAAACCGUAUUAUUAAUUUUUGAAAUCAGGGUUUCUAAUCUUGAGAGUAAAUUGUUAAAUGAUUGGUUAUUGACCGACUUGAUACAAAAAUGGAUUCUUUGCCUAGAUUUUAAUAGGUUUAGGAAUGAAGAGUUCAAAAAGUUGGCCCAGAGGAAGCGAUUCUUACCUAUCAGUUUCUGUCGUUUCAGUAAGGGUGAAACUUGACUAUUACGGGUACGGGGAAUUAGUGUUUAAAUCCGGAGAGGGAGCCUGAGAAAUAGCUACCACAUCUAAGGACGGCAGCAGGCGCGAAAAUUACCCAAUACUAAUACAGUGAGGUAGUGACGAGAAAUAACGACCUUCUAUUUAGAAGGGUACCGGUCAAACGGUUUGAAAUGGUGAUGGAUCAAAAUUCUAUCAGAGCAACAAUUGGAGGAAAAGUCUGGUGCCAGCACCCGCGGUAAUUCCAGCUCCAAUAGUGUAUUUUAAAGUUGUUGCGGUUAAAACGCUCGUAGUUAAUUUAAGAGAGUGGUGAAUGUAGAAUUGCAUUUUGAAUUUGCCAUAUUAGAUUUUAUCUAAUAACUCAACUGUGAGAAAAACAAAAUGCUCAAAAUAAACAAUUUUGGUUAAUUUAUUAACCUUGUUUGAAUGUUAUAACAUGGUAUUGAGAGAAAGUGAUUUAGUUUUCGAAUUAAAUUACGUUACGAUUGGGAGAUAGGGGGAGGGUUCCGGUAUUGCUUCGUCAGAGGUGAAAUUCAAUGACCGAGGCAAGACUAGCAGAUGCGAAAGCUGUAAUACCCACCACGCCUCCGUCAAUCAGGAACGAAAGUUAGGGGAUCGAAGAUUAUUAGAUACCAUUGUAGUCCUAACUGUAAACUAUAAUGACAAGAGAUUGG
This 1148-nucleotide ribosomal RNA is filed under the name uncultured soil eukaryote. RNAcentral describes it as "SSU rRNA". It matches the Rfam family "Eukaryotic small subunit ribosomal RNA", at positions 15 to 1056 of the family's 1831-position model. The record is from RNAcentral.